RNAcentral lists this long non-coding RNA (710 nucleotides) under Homo sapiens (human). RNAcentral describes it as "HSALNT0234522". Lineage: Eukaryota; Metazoa; Chordata; Mammalia; Primates; Hominidae. The record is from RNAcentral.
GCAUGAGCCACCGCCCCUGGUAUUCUCAAUUUUUUUAAAUAAGAGAUUUAUAUUGCUUGACAUUUUGCAUAUAAAGUGAGACUCUUUUAAAAAUAUACAUCAUGCUAUUUCAACAAGCUGGUGCUCCCGGGGAUGUCCAUGGGCUGUCCAACUGCCCCCGGGGCACCAGCUUCUGUUUUUUAUGCUGACUUUGGGCACUGAACUCUCCUUGGCUCCCAGAGGUCCUGACCAGGCUGGUCCUGCCAUCCACAGCGGUGCCUCUGCUAGCGACAUCCCUGCCCAAUUUUCCAUGUCCAGCUUUGACACCUCCACAGAAAGGCUGAGCCACCACCGGGCCCCCAUUGUGGCUGAGCAUCCACUCUCUCUUCCCCAUGUGCUCCUUGCCCCCGACUCCCCAUCUCUGGAACCCAAGUUUGGGCUGCAUGGACCACCUUCUGGGCCAGGCUGUUAGGAGGCCACCACCAAGCAGCAAACGCAGGAGCAGCCGUGCCCUGAGGAGGCACCACCAGCAGCCUCCAGCAGCACUCGGUGAGGCGGGCAACGAUCCAUCUGUGCCGCCAGCAUGGAGCCGGAAGCCACGGCUGACUUGUGCAGUAGAGGAAACAGGAUCUUGCUCUAUCACCCAGUCUGGAGUGCAGUGAUGCAAUCACGGCUCAGCUCACUGCAGCCUCGACCUCCCAGGCUCAAGCCAUCCUCCCACCUCAGCCUCG